This 194-nucleotide ribosomal RNA is filed under the name uncultured Citrobacter sp. RNAcentral describes it as "partial 16S ribosomal RNA". It matches the Rfam family "Bacterial small subunit ribosomal RNA", at positions 338 to 524 of the family's 1533-position model. The record is from RNAcentral. Lineage: Bacteria; Pseudomonadati; Pseudomonadota; Gammaproteobacteria; Enterobacterales; Enterobacteriaceae.
CCUACGGGAGGCAGCAGUGGGGAAUAUUGCACAAUGGGCGCAAGCCUGAUGCAGCCAUGCCGCGUGUAUGAAGAAGGCCUUCGGGUUGUAAAGUACUUUCAGCGAGGAGGAAGGCGUUGUGGUUAAUAACCACAGCGAUUGACGUUACUCGCAGAAGAAGCACCGGCUAACUCCGUGCCAGCAGCCGCGGUAAU